Long non-coding RNA from Gossypium raimondii (Peruvian cotton), 356 nucleotides. RefSeq lists it as uncharacterized. The record is from RefSeq and is a predicted model, not a curated record. The transcript has 3 exons. NCBI's taxonomy places the organism in Eukaryota, Viridiplantae, Streptophyta, Magnoliopsida, Malvales, Malvaceae.
UACGCCCCGAUUACGCGCCUAUUACAUUACCCACCUAUUCCGGCGUUUGGUUCGCUGUUUUCCCAUUCCGCGCCGAAUCGGUUACUCCCCCAUUACAUUGAUUGCGCGUAAUAGGCAUUACGCCCCCUCAGCGCCGAUUACCCAUUCCACGUCUUUCCCUUUUUUCUCUUCCGUUUUCUGCCCUCGUCCUCAACGCUCCAAUUCUCCCACGCUUCCUUGCACAGGGUGAAGUUUUGAGACCCUUAUCAGAAAUUGAUGAUCUUUCCAGUACAUUUUUAAAGUUUAACACAACCAUCAAUGGACCAAGAGGCUCAGGGAUUGUUGGUGACCGGGGAUCUAGAGAAGGUGAAUUUGUU